GAUGAACGCUGACAGAAUGCUUAACACAUGCAAGUCAACUUGAAUUUGGGUUUUUAACUUAGGUUUGGGUGGCGGACGGGUGAGUAACGCGUAAAGAACUUGCCUCACAGCUAGGGACAACAUUUGGAAACGAAUGCUAAUACCUAAUAUUAUGAUAAUAGGGCAUCCUAUAAUUAUGAAAGCUAUAAGCGCUGUGAGAGAGCUUUGCGUCCCAUUAGCUAGUUGGAGAGGUAACGGCUCACCAAGGCGAUGAUGGGUAGCCGGCCUGAGAGGGUGAUCGGCCACAAGGGGACGGAGACACGGCCCGUACUCCUACGGGAGGCAGGAGUGGGGAAUAUUGGACAAUGGACCGAGAGUCUGAUCCAGCAAUUCUGUGUGCACGAUGAAGUUUUUCGGAAUGUAAAGUGCUUUCAGUUGGGAAGAAACAAAUGACGGUACCAACAGAAGAAGUGACGGCUAAAUACGUG
Molecule: ribosomal RNA, 467 nt
Filed under: uncultured bacterium
Lineage: Bacteria
Description: partial 16S ribosomal RNA
Rfam family: Bacterial small subunit ribosomal RNA
Source: RNAcentral